Molecule: long non-coding RNA, 390 nt
Organism: Hippocampus zosterae (dwarf seahorse)
Lineage: Eukaryota; Metazoa; Chordata; Actinopteri; Syngnathiformes; Syngnathidae
Exons: 3
Source: RefSeq, a predicted model, not a curated record
CGCGUGGUAGCCGAGCGGGGUCCCGAACUGCUGCGGGCCCUGGUAAUAGGAGGAGGGCGCCGCCUGCGACAGACGGACGGACGGACGGAAGGUUACGUUGUGAGGCGUGGCGGCGCAAAGGCCUGGUGCCGCGCGCUCCUACCUGCCCGAGGAACUUUGGACCAAUCGGUACGCACCUUGGGCCGGUGGAGGCGGGGCAUACGGAGGCGGGUGCUCACAACUCAUCUGGAAGGACAAAAAUGAUGUCACGGAUGACCACGUCAGGGGGACGGCGCCAACGCCGGCCGGCGGACAAUGGCGGCCUGUCAGCCGCGCAUAGCGCAGCUAAUCCAAUUGAGACAAAACCACUCCCUCCCGCUCUCCUCCCUCACGAUGACGUCAAGAGUGCCC